RNAcentral lists this ribosomal RNA (408 nucleotides) under uncultured Alphaproteobacteria bacterium. Its description in RNAcentral is "bacterial SSU rRNA". It matches the Rfam family "Bacterial small subunit ribosomal RNA", at positions 894 to 1303 of the family's 1533-position model. The record is from RNAcentral. Lineage: Bacteria; Pseudomonadati; Pseudomonadota; Alphaproteobacteria.
CUAAAACUCAAAGGAAUUGACGGGGACCCGCACAAGCGGUGGAGCAUGUGGUUUAAUUCGAAGCAACGCGAAGAACCUUACCAAGUCUUGACAUCCCGAUGACCGUCCCGUAACGGGGGCUUCUCUUCGGAGCAUCGGUGACAGGUGGUGCAUGGUUGUCGUCAGCUCGUGUCGUGAGAUGUGGGUUAAGUCCCGCAACGAGCGCAACCCUUAUCUUUAGUAGCCAGCGGUACGGCCGGGCACUCUAGAGAGACUGCCAGGGAUAACCUGGAGGAAGGUGGGGAUGACGUCAAAUCAUCAUGCCCCUUAUGAUUUGGGCUACACACGUGCUACAAUGGCGUAAACAAAGGGAAGCGAAACUGUGAAGUCUAGCAAAUCUCAAAAGAAAGGGGGGAUUUGCGAACCCCG